UCUGUAAAAACAUGCUCUUUCAUGUCUCAAAUGAGCUAAGAUAGUGGUGGUAGGAUGAGAUGGUGUAGGCUUGUAGGCCCCUUGCAGGCCAGGGUCAUUUGAGGACUGCAGUGAGGUUAAGGUCGGCCAGGCAGGCCUAGGCCAGGAGGAGAAAAUGUUCUCUUCCCCUUACCUCAUGUUGCAAGGCCUAAAUGCCUGGAUCAGCAGGAAGUGGCUCUUGCCUCGCUUAAAGUGUGUCUUUCUAAUCAGAAGUGUUCUUUCUAAAGACAAAGAACAUGUUGUCUCCAAAGGAAGGAUGGCUAAGAGAAUUCUUUAUUCUGCAAGCAUAAACAGGAUGUAUUUUGUUCUUAUUGCAUUUCGUGUAUAUUUCACUUCACGGAUGUUGGCUUGAUACAUUGUUAUGUUUAUCUGAUCUCUGCAAGUAUAUAGCUACGUGAGAAAUAAACGGCAGUAUGCAGUUGCAAGUGCUGCCUUUGCUCUGCAUCCCCUGUGUCCUGGUGAUUUCGUAGACCCUUACCCAGGGACCCCAACGCACUAGACGUUGACAAUUGGUGCCCGAACAGGGACCCUGAAGGACGUACAGGAAGGAUUUUUAUUUAUUUAUUCAUGAGAGACAGAGAGAGAGAGGCAGAGGGAGAAGCAGGCUCCCAAGAAGCAGAGAGCCCGAUGCGGGACUCGAUCCCAGGACCCUGGGAUCAUGACCUGAGCCGAAGGCAGACGCUUAACCAUCUGAGCCACCCAGGCGCCCGACACUCUUAUUCUUUAUAUAUUGUUUAUUGCACCGCAGAGUACGUUCAUGGUUAUUCCUGAUAUCCUGCCAAUCUACCUUUGACAUGGAUCCAUGGUAAUUUGGAAGUCUCAUUUGGGCACCAGGACUGAUAAAGAAUUUCUGGAGAAUUGUCUUCCUGGAUAGAUGUGCAUUAUGUUAAGCUUUGUGGAGGCUUCAUCACGAGCUGGGUGUCUACGGGUGUGGUUUGUUCUGUUCAUAUUUGUAACUGUGUUCCUUGCUAGUGCUGGAACUCAGGCACAUUGCCCUCUGCUGUUGCCUGAUACUUAAUAAGAGCUGCUUUCCCCCCUGUUAUUUUAGUGGGGUUUUGUAAUCUAUUUUUGCUUUGAGGACAAGAAGAGUAAUCUUCUUGCAGAGAAAUGCUUCCAAAAGUUUUUGCCAUUUUUCUUCAGAUGUGUCCAAUCUUGCACUCUUAAAUGUAUCCCUUAGCUAUAGCUGUGUGUGU
Molecule: long non-coding RNA, 1232 nt
Organism: Mirounga angustirostris (Northern elephant seal)
Lineage: Eukaryota; Metazoa; Chordata; Mammalia; Carnivora; Phocidae
Exons: 3
Source: RefSeq, a predicted model, not a curated record